GUUUUCUAAUGGAGUACACUUUUUCAUCAGCAUACUCCUGUGAAAUUAGAUUAUCAUAAAGCAUCCAAACCAACCUUUACCUAAAAAAAAAAGAAAAUUUCUGAAACUUGAAAUAAACAUCGUAAAAGCGACAUCUCUAACUGACUUUUGUUUACAAGGUACAUCAACUUUGUUCUGGAAGAUUAACUUGGUUAACACUGUGGUUUUACUUCACUGACUCUUACAUUUAUAUUAUUACAUGUAAUGUUCUUAAUUUUGUGUGUUAAAUUAUGUAUACUAAUGUUGUUGGUUGUCGUCCUGAGUGCACAAAGGCAGAUAAAUGCAUCUAUACAUGCAAGAACAAUUAUUUACAUGCCAUUUGUAAGUCAAUAUGCUCCGGGGAUGUCAUUAGCAGAGAUUUGCAGAAUAUAAAUGCAUACCAACAUCCAAAUGAACAGUCGAAGUAAGACAGACAAGGUCAAGACCAAGAAAAGAAACAAGCAGACUAUCAGACCGCUCUAAGCAACACGUGUAGCUCAAAUGAGCUGAAACUCAGGGGACAAAUUGUUUUAGGUUGUAACGUAGAAAACAUAAUAAACUAGAGGCUCUAAAUAGACUGUGUCGCUCACCUUGGUCUAUGUGUAUAUCAUAAACGAAU
This 637-nucleotide long non-coding RNA is filed under the name Mytilus galloprovincialis (Mediterranean mussel). Lineage: Eukaryota; Metazoa; Mollusca; Bivalvia; Mytilida; Mytilidae. The record is from RNAcentral.